CCGGCGCAUGGGUGAGUAACGCGUAUGCAACCUGUCCGUUACAGGGGGAUAGCCCAUGGAAACGUGGAUUAACACUCCAUAAUAUAAUAUAGAGGCAUCUUUGUAUUAUUAAAUAUUCAUAGGUAACGGUUGGGCAUGCGUCCUAUUAGAUAGUUGGGGGGGUAACGGCCCACCAAGUCGAUGAUAGGUAGGGGUUCUGAGAGGAAGGUCCCCCACACUGGUACUGAGACACGGACCAGACUCCUACGGGAGGCAGCAGUGAGGAAUAUUGGUCAAUGGGCGAGAGCCUGAACCAGCCAAGUCGCGUGAGGGAUGACUGCCCUAUGGGUUGUAAACCUCUUUUGUAUGGGGGGAAUAAGCUUUACGAGUAGAGUGAUGACAGUACCAUACGAAUAAGCAUCGGCUAACUCCGUGCCAGCAGCCGCGGUAAUACGGAGGAUGCGAGCGUUAUCCGGAUUUAUUGGGUUUAAAGGGUGCGUAGGCGGCAUUAUAAGUUAGUGGUAAAAUAUUGGGGCUUCACCUCACUACGCCAUUAAUACUGUAGAGCUAGAGAACAGACGAGGUAGGCGGAAUAAGUUAAGUAGCGGUGAAAUGCAUAGAUAUAACUUAGAACACCGAUAGCGAAGGCAGCUUUACCAGACUGAGUCUGACGCUGAUGCACGAGAGCAUGGGUAGCGAACAGGAUUAGAUACCCUGGUAGU
This 701-nucleotide ribosomal RNA is filed under the name uncultured bacterium. Its description in RNAcentral is "bacterial SSU rRNA". It matches the Rfam family "Bacterial small subunit ribosomal RNA", at positions 95 to 794 of the family's 1533-position model. The record is from RNAcentral.